This is a regulatory RNA element of Carnobacterium maltaromaticum LMA28, 215 nucleotides long. It matches the Rfam family "T-box leader". Rfam says of the family: Uncharged tRNA acts as the effector for transcription antitermination of genes in the T-box leader family. The record is from Rfam. NCBI's taxonomy places the organism in Bacteria, Bacillati, Bacillota, Bacilli, Lactobacillales, Carnobacteriaceae.
UUUAACGCGUUGAAGAGUCAAAGUAGAUUAACUAUCUUAGUUUCAGAAAAUUGGUGGGAGCUGCGAACCAAUCGAGAUAAUUAAUUGAAUUACGGGCUUGGAGCAUCUUUACUUAAAAAAUAAAGACGGAACUGGGCCGUUAUUCCAAUUGAGAGAGAAAUAAGUAAUUAUUUCUAAUUAGGGUGGUACCGCGAAAUAAUAAAUUCGUCCCUGUU